CCCACCUUGUCCUCCCAAAGUGCUGGGAUUACAGGUGUGAGCCACCACACCCAGCCUCAAAUAUAAUUUUUAUUGGUGAAUUCAGGAAUUACAAGAACUUCAAUAAUGUCUGCUUACUUAACUUGGCAAUGCUCCCUCUACUCUCCUUCCAGCUCCCCAGUGAAGCAUGGCCUUGUGCGCCAUGAGCCGAUUUAAAGUUUAAGAAGAUGACUCUAGAUGUUCCAUGGAGAAUGUUGGGAGUGAGAGUGGCCAUGGGAAGACCCAAUGAGAGGCUGUUGAGUUGCCCAGGAUAUAACUAGAGUCCAGGAAGGAUCGUAGCCCUACUGAGAACUUGAAAGAUCCCAAGUUCCAUCCUCAAAGCAUCCUCGCUGCCGCAUCAUUACAAAAUCCCCCUGAUCCACCUUUUCAAAGGGAGAGCAAAGAACUGUGGGCAUCAGAAUCGGGAAGACCUACCGCCUUUCAGAAAAGACAAGGUGGGAGAACAGAGGCAAGGGGUGUUCCCUCAGCAAACCUGGCAUCUUUACCUGUGAAGUGAGGACACCACGGCCAGGAGGACAAAAUGAGACAACACAUGGCAAGUGCUGAGUAAGGGCCCUGGCCCUUAUGAUAGAGACAGGAGGCAGCAAGCAGCCCCCAACAAAACCCUGCCUUCAAGCCUAAAACAGCCUGAAGGCUAAAAAACCAGACUUCGGGUCUCAAAUAAAGCCCAUACUUUCUUGAUUCUCUCUGAACAAUGCCCACCUGCGCACUGAGAGGAUGAGAUGGAACCUUGGAAAGUUCAAGCCAUUUGUAGUGACGGGAGUCUGACCUCUCCGGUUUCUGGGUGGUGACCUGAGAUUCAAUCUGUGAGAUUGGGGCCUGUUAACAUUAACCCACCUUGCUUUGCUUAGAGUUCACUUCCUUUUCUCCCAAUAAACUCCAUUAUCCCCAGCCCUU
Non-coding RNA from Macaca mulatta (Rhesus monkey), 936 nucleotides. The record is from RefSeq and is a predicted model, not a curated record. NCBI's taxonomy places the organism in Eukaryota, Metazoa, Chordata, Mammalia, Primates, Cercopithecidae.